AGCAGCCGCGGUAAUUCCAGCUCCAAUAGCGUAUAUUAAAGUUGUUGCAGUUAAAAAGCUCGUAGUUGAAUUUCGGGAUCAAUACGUCGGUCGUGCUUCGGUACGUACUGGUGUCAUUGAUUUCUCCCUUCUGACGAACCAUGAUGUCAUUAACUUGGUGUCAUGGGAAAUCAGGACUGUUACUUUGAAAAAAUUAGAGUGUUUAAAGCAGGCUCACGCUUGAAUACAUUAGCAUGGAAUAAUGAAAUAGGACGUUCGAUCCUAUUUUGUUGGUUUCUAGGAUCAACGUAAUGAUUAAUAGGGAUAGUUGGGGGCAUUAGUAUUCAAUUGUCAGAGGUGAAAUUCUUGGAUUUAUUGAAGACUAACUACUGCGAAAGCAUUGCCAAGGAUGUUUUCAUUAAUCAAUGAACGAAGUUAGGGGUAUCGAAGACGAUCAGGAUACCGUCGUAGUCUUAACCAUAAACUAUGCCGACUAGGGAUCGGAUGAUGUUGAAUUAUUUAAUGACUCAUUCGGCGCCUU
RNAcentral lists this unclassified non-coding RNA (520 nucleotides) under uncultured Glomus. RNAcentral describes it as "SSU rRNA". It matches the Rfam family "Eukaryotic small subunit ribosomal RNA", at positions 569 to 1089 of the family's 1831-position model. Lineage: Eukaryota; Fungi; Glomeromycota; Glomeromycetes; Glomerales; Glomeraceae. The record is from RNAcentral.